This 239-nucleotide ribosomal RNA is filed under the name uncultured Lactobacillus sp. RNAcentral's name for it is "partial 16S ribosomal RNA". It matches the Rfam family "Bacterial small subunit ribosomal RNA", at positions 122 to 355 of the family's 1533-position model. Lineage: Bacteria; Bacillati; Bacillota; Bacilli; Lactobacillales; Lactobacillaceae. The record is from RNAcentral.
UAACCUGCCCAAGAGAUCGGGAUAACACCUGGAAACAGAUGCUAAUACCGGAUAACAACAGAUGAUGCCUAUCAACUGUUUAAAAGAUGGUUCUGCUAUCACUCUUGGAUGGACCUGCGGUGCAUUAGCUAGUUGUAGGGUAACGGCCUACCAAGGCGAUGAUGCAUAGCCGAGUUGAGAGACUGAUCGGCCACAUUGGGACUGAGACACGGCCCAAACUCCUACGGGAGGCAGCAGUC